AGCGAACGCUGGCGGCAGGCUUAACACAUGCAAGUCGAACGGGCUUCUUCGGAAGUCAGUGGCAGACGGGUGAGUAACACGUGGGAACGUGCCCUUCGGUUCGGAAUAACUCAGGGAAACUUGAGCUAAUACCGGAUACACCCUUUUGGGGAAAGGUUUACUGCCGAAGGAUCGGCCCGCGUCUGAUUAGCUUGUUGGUGGGGUAACGGCCUACCAAGGCGACGAUCAGUAGCUGGUCUGAGAGGAUGAUCAGCCACACUGGGACUGAGACACGGCCCAGACUCCUACGGGAGGCAGCAGUGGGGAAUAUUGGACAAUGGGCGCAAGCCUGAUCCAGCCAUGCCGCGUGAGUGAUGAAGGCCUUAGGGUUGUAAAGCUCUUUUGUCCGGGACGAUAAUGACGGUACCGGAAGAAUAAGCCCCGGCUAACUUCGUG
This 435-nucleotide ribosomal RNA is filed under the name uncultured bacterium. RNAcentral describes it as "partial 16S ribosomal RNA". It matches the Rfam family "Bacterial small subunit ribosomal RNA", at positions 29 to 507 of the family's 1533-position model. The record is from RNAcentral.